RNAcentral lists this long non-coding RNA (323 nucleotides) under Brassica rapa (field mustard). Its description in RNAcentral is "long non-coding RNA (BRAP_LNC002800)". The record is from RNAcentral. Lineage: Eukaryota; Viridiplantae; Streptophyta; Magnoliopsida; Brassicales; Brassicaceae.
CCUUGGCCAAAACGUUUUUGUGCGACACACCAGUCAUGUACAUGAGGACUUCCAUUUGCUGCAAACAUUGGUGUCGAGACAUUGUUUUUACUCUGUUAGAUAUAGAGUGCAAAACAAGCUGAAUUUGCAGUACAAGGUAACGUACCGUGCUGUCUGUCCAGUGCCCUGGAGUUGCUAGCUCGAUAAGUGAUGAGUUUGUGAAGGCUGUUGUGUAUGGGUUGAUGUGGCAGCUGCAAUUUUUUUUGGUCACGUGUUUAGUGGUCAACGUUUUAAAGCAAAAAGCGAUUACAUAUUUCAUUCUCGCCCAUUUACUUACAUGUCUU